RNAcentral lists this long non-coding RNA (1061 nucleotides) under Malus domestica (apple). RNAcentral's name for it is "long non-coding RNA (MDOM_LNC013972)". The record is from RNAcentral. Lineage: Eukaryota; Viridiplantae; Streptophyta; Magnoliopsida; Rosales; Rosaceae.
AAUUUUCCAAGGCCUAAUUUUGAAUAUAAUAUUCCAGAUGAAAUAAGUCGUUUCUGCCAGGUGUUGACACAUGUCCUAUUUGAUGACUUUUCCAACUCAUUUCAAUUUUCGUUGAGUCACACGCUACGUGUAAAAUUUAUGUAAUACAUGAGCGUUGACACUUUGAUUUACCGGUCAACAUUUAUUUACCGAAAUUUCGAUGUCUACAGUCACAACAAUAUAUUUUUCACAAACAGAUGGUAAAAUUGUACACAUCACAUUAGGAAAGUUUCAAUCUUUUUUGCUUCCAUUGUAACACAUUUCUAAUUAACAUUUCGUACUAAAUUUUGAUUAAACUUUAUUUAAAUGUUUGAUUUCAGAAUUUCACAAGUUGAAUUACCACCUCAAUAAUAAGAAAAAAUACAUUUGAUCUUCGGUUAUAAGGUGACUUCACCUCUCUCACUCUCCCUCUCCACUCUCUCCCAAAACUCAAUUUUGAACUUUUUAUGCAUUUUUUUUAAUCAUUGGCUGUCUUUAUUAUCUUUUGCAGUUGUAUUCACAACUGUCCAAGAGAGUACAACAAAAAGUCAAUUUUUCCUUGGAAGCAUCUCAAGCUAGGAACAAGUCUGGUAUCCAAUUACAUUCAUGGCAUAUAUAACACUUGAAAAAGCUAAUGAUGUUUUUCAACAUUGUUUAGCAUGUAGCAAGCUUUGUUUGACUAAUAUACUCAAUACUGCAUUUGUAAUUUUGCCAUUGGUCCAACUUUUUGAAUAAACAAUUUCUCUUCUUUGCACUUUGAAAAUAUAGAUUUUUAAUUUUUCUUUUGGCAUCUAAAUUUGUUAAGUUUAUGAUAAAGUUUAGCAAAAUAUCUCAUAUGAUUUUCAAUUCCGCAGCAUCGCGCAGGUGCAAAUUUCUAGUGAAACUAACUAAACCACAACAAAAUAGGAAAAAAAGAAGUAAGAAUUGACACCAAAUAAUAGUACAAAUUAAAGACUACUAGGGUGCGUUUGUUUGCACUCGCUAGCAUUCACUAGACUGGAUUGGAUUAAGUGGGACUGCAGUGCCGUGUUUGUUCCACGCCG